UACGGACGAGUCGAGCGUUAUCCGGAAUUAUUGGGCGUAAAGCGUCCGUAGGUGGUUGACCAAGUCUGCUGUCAAAGGGUGGGGCUUAACCUCAUAAAGGCAGUGGAAACUGGUGAGCUAGAGUGCGGUAGGGGUAAGGGGAAUUCCCAGUGUAGCGGUGAAAUGCGUAGAGAUUGGGAAGAACAUCGGUGGCGAAAGCGCCUUGCUGGGCCUGAACUGACACUGAGGGACGAAAGCUAGGGGAGCGAAAGGG
This 253-nucleotide ribosomal RNA is filed under the name uncultured bacterium. Its description in RNAcentral is "partial 16S ribosomal RNA". It matches the Rfam family "Bacterial small subunit ribosomal RNA", at positions 524 to 776 of the family's 1533-position model. The record is from RNAcentral.